AGACCCGGAGAGAAAAGUAGGGUCUGAUCUGUAGCCUCAGUGGUAGCUGUUGAUCAGCCCUUGCCUCUCUCUUUCUCUCUG
Non-coding RNA from Myotis davidii, 81 nucleotides. NCBI's taxonomy places the organism in Eukaryota, Metazoa, Chordata, Mammalia, Chiroptera, Vespertilionidae. The record is from Rfam.